CGCACGGCUCAGCGGGCUGUACGUCCCAGUGCUGGGGAGGACAGCUGCCUCCUGGGUCUCUGUGUGUAUUGCUGCCACUGCGCGGGACGGCUCUCUGCAGCUCAGCUCCCCUCCAACUACUGCACCCUGCCUUUCGAUAUUAUUGUCUUACAGGAUUACAUUUAAAUUGCAGACCUCAAACUAACCUGGAAAGUUAAAUCCUCUGGAGAGUAAGUGUAAAUAGGAUUACCCAUAACUUCCAGUCCUUGCCCAGCUGCACCACUGUGGCUCCUCUGACCUCUGCAGAGGAACAGAAAUCACACAGGCAGAACAACAAAGGGCUUUGGGAUAUUAUUUUGGUUUUUUUCCUCUCAGGAGAAAGGAAGACAGAGGAUACCAGAAAGUGUCUUCAGAUACUGGAGGGACCAGGAGACUUUGAACUCUAUACUCAUCAUCCCCACCUUCAGACCUCAAAGCCUGCUGCCCAGUUCCCUGGGUACAGGAGCAUAAGGGACAUCCCCAAGGCCCGGUGCCUGGGAAAAGAAAAGGUAGUUCCUAAAAAGCAAGACUACCCUGAAGAGGAUGUCUCCCAAGGGCAGCAAUAUCAGCAAAAUCAGGCUCAGCAGGCACAGACAAGCCUCUCAAGUCUAAAGCGACAAGGAGCCCCCACUACUGGUGCCUGAUUAUUUGGGCAGGACUGGCCCCAAACAGGCAAAGGCAACAGGAAAAGGCAUUUUCGCCCCAGGGAUGACAGGGAACUUUCAAAAGCAGCUUUGGUAAUUAAGGGUGGGCUGAACAAGACAUUUUGUCCUCAUAGGACUCAAGAAGGGUAUGAACACUGGUAUGAUCCUUGCAAGGAAGGAAAGAGAGGAGGAUGGAAGUGGAAAAGAUAAAAUCAUUGCCAAAAAAUCUCUCCUGGCUCCUUAUCCUCCCAGGUAUACAUAGCAGUAUUGCAGGCUCACGGAAGUUACAAGCUUUCUGAAGCUCGAAAAUGAAUAUUGUUGAACAUUUACAUUUAAUAACUGGAGGAAAGAAAUGGCAGAGUGACUGCCAGCACUCACUGGGUAGGGCUGACAAGUUGUUUUAAAUUGCUUUUCACCAGUACUAUCAGUAGAACAGACCUGUGCCAAGACACCAGGAACAGCUAUUAGUAUAAUAGCAUGUUUACGCACUUCAGAGCGGUAAUGGAAGGUAUUGCAACAGGGAUUGACAUUAAUAUGGAGAAACUAAGAAGAAAGGAAGGAAAAAGCCAUGUGGACAGAUUCAGGAGACUAAGUGGAAAUACAAAGUUCAGGAGGAAAGAGUUUUACAGUAGACAACUACACAGAUUAGCAAGUUAGAUUAUGCCAAAACAAAAUAACCAGCAUUGAGACUAACGACCAGUAAAAAUAUCCCAACAGAAAGAUGCAGAUUCAUUGAAACGUAACACAUAUUGUAAACAAUUAGUAGCAAAGUUACUCUUUGAGGAUACCAAAAAGUAUCUUUAGACACUGGAGGGGCCAAGAGACUUUGAAGUUUUUCCAAUUUUUAUCUUAUAAUUCAUGUCUUUUAGACUGUCAUGCAACUGCAAAGUUUUCAGGAAGUGAUAAUCUUGAAAGCCACAAUAGGACAAACAGAAAUGAUAUGGCAAAAAGGAAGGAACAUUCUUCAUUCGUUUUCUUAACUUCAUCUUUGCUUUUGACUGACAUAUUGCUCAAGCAUGUACUAAGAAUCAGUAUUUAUAUAUUGAAAAGCACCUAACUGAAAUAUCUCAAAUUUCACAGAGCUUGGAUUCUAAACCUACCAGUAUUUUAACAAACUAGUAGUGUUCAGUUGCAACACUCCACCUCUUCUGGGAAGCCAAUUCAGUUGAAAAAGGGUUAUCUAUGUUUUUGUUAUUCAAAUGACUUCCAGUGGAAAAAGAAAACAUUAGGAAGAGCUGUAGAGGAAUCUUUUCAGAAAUUAGUAAAGUGAUAUGUGAAUAAAGUUUGUGGAGUUCCAGGUCCUGCUCUAAUUAGUCCUGAAAAAAAGAACCCCCAAACCAGCAACUCUUCAAUAAAAAAUUCAUAAUUUCUGCACAUUUUACCUUCUUCUUGCUUUCUCUAUUAAUAAAGGAAAGGAUACCAAGAAAAUGAGUUGGGACUUUCCAUGCACACCAGAUGAGUUCAGAAGGCAAACUGAAUUAAAGCUUUAACAAAAAUCCAGACCAAAUGAGAUGAACUAUUCAAAAUUUCAGUUUUGCCAUACUGACACCUCUCUAGUGCUAAGUUCAAGGCUCUAGAGAGAAAACUAUCUAAUCUUACAAAAGCCACCCAACAUACUGCACUAAACAUUAAAUAGAAAAUUUAAUAGAAACAUUAAAUAGAAGCAGGAAGAAGUAUGAGUAGAGAGUGUUAGACAAUAACCAGCUUAACCCAUGGUGAAAUAAUGUACUGUAACAAGUUAUUGGUAAUCAGUUACAGAAGUGUAAUAAAUCUAGCUUAUUUCUAUUUAUACCACAUUAUAGAAUUACUUUCUAGAAAACUGAUGGUAUA
This is a long non-coding RNA of Aquila chrysaetos chrysaetos, 2492 nucleotides long. The record is from Ensembl. Lineage: Eukaryota; Metazoa; Chordata; Aves; Accipitriformes; Accipitridae.